RNAcentral lists this long non-coding RNA (1524 nucleotides) under Anser cygnoides (Swan goose). RNAcentral describes it as "lncRNA (ENSACDG00005010771.1)". The record is from RNAcentral. Lineage: Eukaryota; Metazoa; Chordata; Aves; Anseriformes; Anatidae.
UGGGGGGGCUUGCAAAUGGCCGCUUGCGGAGGGCGUUCCUCGAGCUCGCUAAGGGGACGGGAGGAAACGCGGUGAAGGGGCGCCGCCGCGCCUGCUUUGCAUGCCGAGACCGCAGCCUCGGCCGUCACCUGAGGCGCUGUCCAGGAAAGCGCCGCUUCCCCUUUUUUCCCCCCCUUCGUUUUCCUCCCUGCAGUUCAGGGCCUUCCUUUGCGGAUAAACUUGAGAGCAACAUGGGUUUGGGCAGCAUCUGUGAACACUUCAAAACAUUUUGAGAAACAAGAUGAAAAAGCUGAAUCUCAUCGCUCUCUACAGCUACCUGGAAGGAGGUUGCGGUCAACACCUGGUACACAAAGAAUGCAAAGGUUUUAGAAGCAUCACAUUCAGAUCAGCAAUUCUGUAUGCAUUUUUAAUCAAGUCUCUCAGCCUUGAAAUAAAUCAAAAUGACUGGAAGAAAGAGAUUUUUCUGCUGGAUCUUAAUGAGUUAACCUCUUCCACCUGCAACAUUUCCUCCAAAGCAAGCACCAAGUUUAUUUUUAUAGCUGAAUUCCCAAAUAGCAGGUCAGUGAAGGGAAGGGAGUGUUUGCUGCAUCUGAGGUUUUCAUGUUACGUUCUUCUGUAAUGAUGGGUUUCUUUAAGAAUUACUGUAGUAGUUAAGUUUAGUGGCUCUUUGAGCUUUUUGUUAAAUUAACCUUACUGUAUUUUAUUCUAUUUAAGAAGAAGAAAGAAGAUACUAAGAAAAGAUGCUGGCUUUUAAAAAGUGGAGAAAGAGUCUUAAUCUUUGCAAGGUAAAUUUGUUCUGUUACCUUCUGAGUGAGUCAUCUAUCCAUCCAAGGAGUAUAGUUCACCUUCUAAGCUCUUGAAAUAGUUUUUUGUAAUGUUUUUUUAUAGUUUUUUGUAAUGUUCUCUCAUCAGACACUUCCCUUCAGUAGCUGCCUUAAAAGGGCUUAAAUUCUUCUAGUUACUGCCUGAUUGCCUCACUUCAUCUUACACAUCUUCAGCUGAGAAAAGUGUUGAAGCAUUAGCUUUUUUCUUCAAAGAAGAAUUAUAGCAUGGAACAGGAACGCUGAAAAAUACAAGCUCAUAGUUAUGAUCACGGAACAAUUAUUAUCGACAAUUGUUGACUCUGCUAGUUACAAAUAGUAGAGUUGGUUUGAGACGCAUUUUGGGGAAGACUGAAUGAGAGACAGCUCUUAAAGUUUUAGUAUUCAGUACUUAAUAGUAUAACAGGUGAGUGAAAAAAAUUGGAUGAGGAGUGGAAGGCUAGCUUCCAUACAGACUUUUUUUUUUCUGUUAGCUUCAGGAAAGAAAAAGUGCAUUGUUAGGCAUUAUUUUUGCUUGUAUACUGUAACUGGUUCAUUUCCCCCCCCAUGUCUGAUGUGUAAUUUCAGUUUGCAUUAACACUUGCAUAACUUUGCAUUAUGGUUGAAUGUUGGGACUUUUUUUUCCCUGUUGCAAGUAGGUAUUAUAAACAUUGAUAACUUUCACAUAUGAUAUAAUAAAUAUUUUUUAUUUAUUUUACUGACA